GUAGGUGGCAAGCGUUGUCCGGAAUUAUUGGGGCGUAAAGCGCGCGCAGGCGGGGUCCUUUAAGUCUGAUGUGAAAGCCCACGGGCUCAACCGUGGAGGGUCAUUGGAAACUGGGGGACUUGAGUACAGAAGAGGAAAGCGGAAUUCCAAGUGUAGCGGUGAAAUGCGUAGAGAUUUGGAGGAACACCAGUGGCGAAGGCGGCUUUCUGGUCUGUAACUGACGCUGAGGCGCGAAAGCGUGGGGAGCAAACAGGAUUAGAUACCCUGGUAGUCCACGCCGUAAACGAUGAGUGCUAAGUGUUAGGGGGUUUCCGCCCCUUAGUGCUGCAGCUAACGCAUUAAGCACUCCGCCUGGGGAGUACGGCCGCAAAGGCUG
This 376-nucleotide ribosomal RNA is filed under the name uncultured organism. RNAcentral describes it as "partial 16S ribosomal RNA". It matches the Rfam family "Bacterial small subunit ribosomal RNA", at positions 527 to 896 of the family's 1533-position model. The record is from RNAcentral.